CAGCGCCACAAGUGGGGAUCAGCUUUAUUGGGCCUAAAGCGUCCGUAGCCGGUUCGGUAAAUCUCUGGGUAAAUCGUUGGGCUUAACUCAGCGAAUUCUGGGGAGACUGCCGAACUUGGGACCGGGAGAGGUCGGAGGUACUCCAGGGGUAGGGGUGAAAUCCUGUAAUCCUUGGGGGACCACCGGUGGCGAAAGCGUCCGACCAGAACGGGUCCGACGGUAAGGGACGAAGCCCCGGGUCGCGAACCGGAUUAGAUACCCGAGUAGUCC
RNAcentral lists this ribosomal RNA (270 nucleotides) under uncultured archaeon. Its description in RNAcentral is "partial 16S ribosomal RNA". It matches the Rfam family "Archaeal small subunit ribosomal RNA", at positions 477 to 747 of the family's 1478-position model. The record is from RNAcentral.